Lepisosteus oculatus (spotted gar) is the source of this 1312-nucleotide non-coding RNA. NCBI's taxonomy places the organism in Eukaryota, Metazoa, Chordata, Actinopteri, Semionotiformes, Lepisosteidae. The record is from RefSeq and is a predicted model, not a curated record.
CUGCAGCGAUGUUGGAGUGGAGCUCCCCUUUACCCUCAUGCACCCCAAACCCAGCGAAAGUGUCAGCCAGGAGGACAUUGUGAUCGAGGAGUUUGCCCGGCAGAAGCUGAAAGGGGAGAAAGACGAUGAAGAAGAAAAGGAGGACCAGGAGGAAAAGUAGUGUGGAGACUGGCCCGUGGUGGACAGGCAGAAGGACAGCUGGACGUUGAGAACCCGGCAGAAUGCCCAUUAGCGCCACAAUUAGAAUUCUGUCAUUAAACACAUAACAUUGCUGUGCUUUCUCUGAAAUAGGGGGUGGGGAUGCAUUCAUUUUUUUAUUAUUUAUAGCUCAGUAGUGCAAUCCUAGGGGUACUGAGGCACAGACACACUGAGCCGAAACUGCUCAUGGAGAAACAUAAGCAAAAACAGUUACACAGUUCAAAACAAAUCUGUCUCAAAACACAUUUUCAGGAUCACAUUUCUCUUGUAGCUAUAGCAUGUGAGUGAGGUGCAUCAUUUCAAAAGAAGCGGCCUUCUCAACUGGCCGUGGAGAAUACAUUUCCGAGUGAAGUACAACUGCUUUUGCAAUCAGACACCUCAGGGCUAUGCUAGACACUUAGUUCUCUGUAGGAGGGGUUUACCUGUGUGAACUAAGGGGCUGCAGGAGCUCAGUUGUGCACACCCAGCUCUGACAGGUGCAGGCCUGUGGCUUAAGCCACAUGUCAAUGCCCCUGAAGACUGGAGUCACGGGCUGGGAACGGAGGGCACACUGGCUGUGCUGGGGAGCGGCAUUGCAGAUCCCCUCUGGACACUCAGGGUGGCUGUCCAGCAACAAGGGCAAAGUCUGUUCAUCUUUCAGGACCCAGCAUCCCUUGCCACGUCGCUUCCGCUACCAAAUGUUUUGUUGGGGUUUUUUAGCAUUAUUUCAUUCAUGUACCUGCUGAUUUGUAGAGGUGGGUGUUUAGAGGCCCCUGCGGCGCCUGUGUAGCUCCAGUAUUAGAGUUUCCACGAGGGCAGCGCUACACAGCCGCUCAGCCACAGGGCUGGUCUCCUCCCGGGCACUCCUGCACUGGAAAGGGGGCUCGGUCAAGGAGUGGGGGUGUAGCGAUUUCUGUUCUCUAGAGGGAGUGUUUGUGGGGUUUAAUUUACUGUGUGACCUGACACAGCCAGAUUGUCAAAGGAACUGAGUGCAUGUUCACUGCUGAAGGGAUCGCUGGUGGGCUUCUUCAGAGUUAUACAUAAAUGUACCGUAUGUAUAAGCAAACCAUCAUGCUGUCUGAAGGAACUGGGAUGCGGGGUGAGAACCACACCUCUGAUUAAAAGUAUGAGGUUA